AACCUCCUAGGAUUACGUCUGGAGAGUGGCUAGUGUUUUACCAGCUUUGAAAACAGGAGGGAAAGGAAGCCUGGCAGAAGGACCAUUCCAUCCCAGCUUGAUCAGUAGCUGGAGACCAGAAGACACUCUGCAACAAGU
This is a small nucleolar RNA of Otolemur garnettii (small-eared galago), 138 nucleotides long. The record is from Ensembl. NCBI's taxonomy places the organism in Eukaryota, Metazoa, Chordata, Mammalia, Primates, Galagidae.